This 253-nucleotide ribosomal RNA is filed under the name uncultured bacterium. RNAcentral describes it as "partial 16S ribosomal RNA". It matches the Rfam family "Bacterial small subunit ribosomal RNA", at positions 524 to 776 of the family's 1533-position model. The record is from RNAcentral.
UACGUAGGGGGCAAGCGUUGUCCGGAAUCAUUGGGCGUAAAGAGCGUGUAGGCGGUUCGGUAAGUCCGCUGUGAAAGUCCAGGGCUCAACCCUGGAAUGCCGGUGGAUACUGUCGGGCUAGAGUCCGGAAGAGGCGAGUGGAAUUCCUGGUGUAGCGGUGAAAUGCGCAGAUAUCAGGAGGAACACCAAUGGCGAAGGCAGCUCGCUGGGACGGUACUGACGCUGAGACGCGAAAGCGUGGGGAGCAAACAGG